This 490-nucleotide ribosomal RNA is filed under the name uncultured bacterium. Its description in RNAcentral is "bacterial SSU rRNA". It matches the Rfam family "Bacterial small subunit ribosomal RNA", at positions 92 to 579 of the family's 1533-position model. The record is from RNAcentral.
CGAGUGGCGAACGGUGAGUAAUGUAUCGGAACGUACCUUUCAGUGGGGGAUAACGUAGCGAAAGUUACGCUAAUACCGCAUAUUCUGUGAGCAGGAAAGCAGGGGAUCGCAAGACCUUGCGCUGAUUGAGCGGCCGAUAUCAGAUUAGCUAGUUGGUGAGGUAAAGGCUCACCAAGGCGACGAUCUGUAGCGGGUCUGAGAGGAUGAUCCGCCACACUGGAACUGAGACACGGUCCAGACUCCUACGGGAGGCAGCAGUGGGGAAUUUUGGACAAUGGGCGCAAGCCUGAUCCAGCCAUGCCGCGUGAGUGAAGAAGGCCUUCGGGUUGUAAAGCUCUUUCAGCCGGGGAGAAAACGCAUGGGUUAAUACCCUGUGUGGAUGACGGUACCGGAAUAAGAAGCACCGGCUAACUACGUGCCAGCAGCCGCGGUAAUACGUAGGGUGCGAGCGUUAAUCGGAAUUACUGGGCGUAAAGCGUGCGCAGGCGGU